AGGGCCAUAUCACGUUGAAACACCAGUUCUCUUACGAUCACCGAAGUUAAGCAAUGUUGAGCUUAGUUAGUACCUAGAUGGGUGACCGCCUGGGAAUAUCAGAUGCUGUAAG
Non-coding RNA from Acanthosepion pharaonis, 112 nucleotides. Lineage: Eukaryota; Metazoa; Mollusca; Cephalopoda; Sepiida; Sepiidae. The record is from the annotation of a GenBank genome assembly.